Long non-coding RNA from Canis lupus familiaris (dog), 1871 nucleotides. RefSeq lists it as uncharacterized. The transcript is spliced from 2 exons. NCBI's taxonomy places the organism in Eukaryota, Metazoa, Chordata, Mammalia, Carnivora, Canidae. The record is from RefSeq and is a predicted model, not a curated record.
GGGCGCGCGGAGGUGGAGGCCGGGUGGGGCGGCGUCGCGGCUCCGGCGGCCUCGGCCUUGCCGGUGGGCCGGCGCCUUUCUCCCCGAGGCUUUUAGCCGCUGUGAGGGACUGUGCUUUCGGGAAUCUAAUUUUCUAUGUGUGUCUCUCCCCGCGCCGCCCGGAAGGCUUGACGUUGGAGCCCUGCUGGACAAGGCGGCCUGGGGUGGAAAUUUGCGCCCGAGGGACGCGAGCCGGACCGAGCGUUAGAGAGUGUUAGGCCGCGUACUCGGAGCCUCCUGCAGAGCGGUGCGCGCGAGGGCGGGGGGGCAGCGGAGUCGGAGGAAGGUGGGCGGGGGGCCCUCGACCCGCGAGGGUCUGCAAGAAAGUGAACCAAGCUGCGAGCCCCAGGCCUUGACCUCCUCGUCCCCCGGGAGAGGUUUCAUCCUGGUUCGUUUCUCCACGUCGUCACCUUACCUUGAACUCCAGUGGCUUCUCUGCAUGGAAGAUUUGGAGAUGUCUAGGGAAGGAAUGUGAAACCUACGUUCCAUCCCGCAGCGAUGUGACAGCUAAGAUGGGAGCCUGAGGAGAGUUUACAGGCAGGAUCUGUGGACUUAGAUCUGAAACUUGUGGAAGGCAGUACAAGGCGGUCAGGGGAAUGGAGAAAAUAAAUAGUUGCCUUAAAAAAAAAAUUUUACUCAUGGCUUUUUUACUUCUCAAACACCAAGGUAUUUUUUAAAAAGGAAUGAAAAGAGCUGCUCCAGAUAUUUUGAAAGGAUGCUAUUUUUUUUUUUUAAGAUUGACUGAUUGAUUGAUUUAAUAGAGAGACAGAGAGCACAAGCAGGCAGAGUGGUAGGCAGAGGGGAGAGGGAGAAGCAGGCUCCCGGUGGAGCAGGGAGCCAGAUGUGCUUGGAUCCAGGACCCCAGGAUCAGGACCUGAGCGGAAAGCAGACGCGUGACCAGCCGAGCCACCAGGUUCCAUGUGCAUCAUCUAGUCCUGCUGAAGGUCUGAAGUGCUUAUAAAACUCAUGACAAUGUACAGCUCCGCAUUCAGUGCUCGUGUUUGAUCCUUUCCAAAUUAAAUAUAUGCAGAUUUUCAGAGCAGCUAUAUGAAGUUAAGUACCACCAAACAUAUGUUCUACAAUAUGGCUAGUAUUUCUGUAAGUUAGUGGACUCUAUAGGGUAGUAGAAUGUGUUAUCUUUACCAGAGUCACUCAUUUCUUUUGCACUAUGUCUACCAAGGGCAGUUUAUAGAAAGAUAAUAUCUGCUAAGUAUGACUGAUGAGAUACAAAAAAAAAAAAAAUCCUUUUCAAGAAGUCAGAAAAAGGAAAACAAAAACAAAGUAAAAUGACAGAAAUAAUAUUAAGAGCAGGAAUGAAUGAAAUGAGAAACAAAAGCAAUGUGGGAGAAACCAUCUGUUACUGGCUCAGAAGAAUCAACUGUGUAUACCUCUCCCCUACUCCAUGGCCACUAACAUGAAAUUAGUGGCUUGAAAUUGUCCAUGAUGAUAAUAUUCACUCUAUGGAAAUCAACAUAUAAAAAGAAAAGGUCUUGGAUGACUUCUGAGUUGAAAAAAGAAGUAUAUUUAAAUUUUUAAGUUUAUACAUAGUGAUAAAUAUGUAAAAUAAAUAAAGUAAAACUUGACUGAGUUACAAAGAAAAAAGUAUGAUUCUGUCAGGUUACCUUAAUAAGCCUUCUCAGUGAUUUUUAAGACAAGAAAAAUCAGUAAGGAUACAGAAAAUUUGAAUAAUAUGAAUAAUAAACUUGACCUAAUGAAUAUACACAGAACACAACCAAAAUUAGAAUGUAUGUUUUUUGAAAGCAAAACAUCCCCAAAUCAACCACAUCCUUAGCUGUAAAGCAAGUCUUAAUAAAUUUUAAAGAUUGAAAUCA